GUGCUCACUUUGGCAGCACAUAUACUAAAAUUGGAACGGUAUAAAAAAGAUUAGCAUGGCCCCUGUGCAAGGAUGACAGGCAAAUUCAUGAAGCGUUCCACAUUUUA
RNAcentral lists this small nuclear RNA (107 nucleotides) under Neotoma lepida (desert woodrat). Lineage: Eukaryota; Metazoa; Chordata; Mammalia; Rodentia; Cricetidae. The record is from RNAcentral.